Small nuclear RNA from Hippopotamus amphibius kiboko, 106 nucleotides. The record is from RefSeq and is a predicted model, not a curated record. NCBI's taxonomy places the organism in Eukaryota, Metazoa, Chordata, Mammalia, Artiodactyla, Hippopotamidae.
GCGCUUGGUUUGGUAGGACAUACACUAAAAGUGGAACUAUACAGAGAAGAUCAGAUGGCCCCUGUGCAAAGAUGACAAGGAAAUUCAUGCUGAUUUCACAUUUUCA